UAGAAUUUGUCAAAUCUUUUGGCUUAACCAGACUUAGUGUAGCUCACUUACCUAAAUUGGAUUUCUGUUUUUCCGGAAUAUGACCAUGUGUGACUUGGUUUAAUUGAUCCAAUGGCUUACUUCAACAUUCCCUUAUUCUCCUUUUUGGGUCACUCUGGAAAGUACAUAUGUUAUUCCUCACUCAAAACCUCUCUUCAAGUUUGCAUGGAUGAUCUGCUUUGAUUAAAUCAGCAAACAAGAUUGAUAUCUAUAUUAAUUUGCAAACAUGGAAUCAUCACAUUUAUUAAAUAAGAUCACUGAUGCAUCUUUCGCAAGAUUUUUUAUUUGAGAUUGAAAAAAAAAAAAAAAAACCUUUGUACCUUCUGCCAAGAUUUUAAGUAUGAUCAUCCCUGCAUCUCUCUCCCAAGCUUUUUUGGCAUUGCAGUUAUCAGUUUGUCAUGGCAAAGAAGGACAAAGCGGUAAAUGAUAUGCCAAAGGAAAGAAUUCAUAAUACGGCUUAGAUGUUUAUUUUUUGUGAUACCUUGCAUCAAAUUCUUAAUGUACACAGAGUCAAAUCUUUGACCACAUUCAUUCCUAAAUGUCAAUCUGGCAUUUCAAAUCAGUUAUUUGCAUAUACAUUUGAUACUUCCCUCCAUUUCCAUGAUGACAUGUAUAUU
Molecule: long non-coding RNA, 656 nt
Filed under: Rosa chinensis
Lineage: Eukaryota; Viridiplantae; Streptophyta; Magnoliopsida; Rosales; Rosaceae
Description: sRNA RchiOBHm_Chr0c22g0500381
Source: RNAcentral